GCCUGGGCGGGGUCAUGCAAAUAAAACCGCUCUUAAAGCGCCAGGCCCCGCGGGAGGGCGGGGGCGCUGGAGACGCGCCCGGCUGGGCCAGCGCUGGCGGGGAGGUGCGGCUCUCUGGUCCCUUGCUUUGGUGAGGUGAGCGCUUCGCGGACGAGCGUCCUGCGACCGGGACCGUCCUCCUCUGUGGGUCCCUAGUCUCCAGACUAGGGCAGGCCCAGAGGAGGCGACUUGCUCACAGGGCAGUUCUGGGACAGAUCCUAAGGCCUGCCUGAGAUCUUGGGUCUGGGUGGCUGCCCUGCCAGGGGACCCGGUCACCCCCUGCAGUGUCGUCAGUAGGGGCCACUCCCGCUUAACAGUGCCUGGAUACCCUUGUGGAAGGGGGCCAGUCCCCCGGAGGCCAGCACCAUGCAGCUCCCUGAGUUCUGAGCCUGUGGACUCUUAUUUGCUCCGGGCCCUGGGGGUGAGGGUCCCAUCUAGUUGCGAGGGUCCCUGGCCUGGGGGACUUUAGGGCACUAGAUAAGGUGUUUGCACUGUGCACAGCCACAUCAGGAGAAAUCUCAGGGAGGUUUCCUGACGGGUUCAGGGUCCAAAGGGCACCUCACAGCAAGAGAAUCUCCAGCAGACUCCUGGGUUGGUGGCUGUCAGUGGGGGAAGACAGGUCCACGUGGCCAGGGGGCAAGCUGCUCCUGGGCCUGGUGGAUAUGGCAUAGAACUUCCAGAGCCCACAAUCUGGAUUCUGUGUCCCCAGCUCGUGGCCAUUCCAGCUCUUCUCCCGCCUCUGGGACAACUGACCUCACACCUUGUUCUGAGCAUUUGUCCCCCCUGCGAGCCAAGCGCGGAGCCCCUGAAGACAACGGCGCACCCACCGAAGAUGAGCAGGCAGAGCCAUCACUAGCGCUGAGUUUCCGGGAGCUUUCGUGUCUGACUCCGCGUGUUUCUGGGCAGCGGCUGGUUCUUCCACGGAUGUGAAACCAGAAACCCUGCCUCAGGUAAACCCCCCGCCUGCUCCGGGAGCAAGGCUAGG
RNAcentral lists this long non-coding RNA (1024 nucleotides) under Ursus americanus (American black bear). Its description in RNAcentral is "lncRNA (ENSUAMG00000019036.1)". Lineage: Eukaryota; Metazoa; Chordata; Mammalia; Carnivora; Ursidae. The record is from RNAcentral.